Molecule: ribosomal RNA, 253 nt
Filed under: uncultured bacterium
Lineage: Bacteria
Description: partial 16S ribosomal RNA
Rfam family: Bacterial small subunit ribosomal RNA
Source: RNAcentral
UACGUAGGGUGCGAGCGUUAAUCGGAAUUACUGGGUGUAAAGCGUGCGCAGGCGGCGCGUUAAGACAGGUGUGAAAGCCCCGAGCUUAACUUGGGAAUUGCGCUUGUGACUGGCGUGCUGGAGUGUGGCAGAGGGAGGUGGAAUUCCACGUGUAGCAGUGAAAUGCGUAGAGAUGUGGAGGAACACCGAUGGCGAAGGCAGCCUCCUGGGCCAGCACUGACGCUCAUGCACGAAAGCGUGGGGAGCAAACAGG